GAUGAACGCUAGCGGCAUGCUUUACACAUGCAAGUCGAACGGCAGCGCGGGGGCAACCCUGGCGGCGAGUGGCGAACGGGUGAGUAAUAUAUCGGAACGUACCCAAGAGUGGGGGAUAACGUAGUGAAAGUUACGCUAAUACCGCAUACGAUCUAAGGAUGAAAGCAGGGGAUCUUCGGACCUUGUGCUCCUGGAGCGGC
Molecule: ribosomal RNA, 200 nt
Filed under: uncultured bacterium
Lineage: Bacteria
Description: partial 16S ribosomal RNA
Rfam family: Bacterial small subunit ribosomal RNA
Source: RNAcentral